GAUGAACGCUAGCUACAGGCUUAACACAUGCAAGUCGAGGGGCAGCACAAGGCAGCAAUGCUGAGGUGGCGACCGGCGCACGGGUGCGUAACGCGUAUCCAACCUUCCCGUUACUCAUGGAUAGCCUUCCGAAAGGGAGAUUAAUACAUGAUGGUGUUGAAAUUCCGCAUGUUAUUUCAACUAAAGAUUUAUCGGUAACGGAUGGGGAUGCGUUCCAUUAGCUUGUUGGCGGGGUAACGGCCCACAAGGCUUCGAUGGAUAGGGGUUCUGAGAGGAAGGUCCCCCANACUGGAACUGAGACACGGUCCAGACUCCUACGGGAGGCAGGCAGUGAGGAAUAUU
This 342-nucleotide ribosomal RNA is filed under the name uncultured bacterium. Its description in RNAcentral is "bacterial SSU rRNA". It matches the Rfam family "Bacterial small subunit ribosomal RNA", at positions 28 to 365 of the family's 1533-position model. The record is from RNAcentral.